UACGUAGGGUGCAAACGUUGUUCGGAAUCAUUGGGCGUGAAGGGUACGUAGGCGGUUUGGUAAGUUAGAGGUGAAAUCCCGGGGCUUAACUCCGGGGCUGCCUUUAAAACUAUCAAUCUAGAGUCACUGAUAUAGGUGGCAGGAAUUCCUAGUGUAGGAGUGAAAUCUGUAGAUAUUAGGAAGAACACCAAUGGCGAAGGCAAGCCACUGGGUAGUGACUGACGCUGAGGUACGAAAGCCGGGGGAGCAAAAGGG
Molecule: ribosomal RNA, 255 nt
Filed under: uncultured bacterium
Lineage: Bacteria
Description: partial 16S ribosomal RNA
Rfam family: Bacterial small subunit ribosomal RNA
Source: RNAcentral